AACAACAAUGAGCUAACAAUCCAGGGAUAAGCUAAGUAAGACAAAAAUUAGUUGCCUUGAUAAUUAAGAGGUGUACCUUAAUAGUCACCUGAAGCCUCUGCAGAACAUGUCAUAAUGGAAUCAAUGACCUGUGGACAUUCACUAAGAUGACUAUGUAUCAGAAAAGCAGUAACAACCAGACUUCUCAGACCUCCUGAAUUAUGUGUGGACAAGAUGACAAGAAAGUGCCAUGCCUCUGCCUCUAGCUGACCAGUGGCCCUGAUGACCAAGCCCUUGGCAACGGUUCUCACAGUAUAGUCACCAAAUAAACAACAUCAGUAUCACCCAGGAAGUUUGCUAGAAACUUAGAUUUUUAGGCCUCACAUCUACUCAAUAAGAACUGGAGGUCUGGUACAGCAAUCUGAAUUGUAACAAAAGCCCUCUGUGUGAUUCUGAAGACGCUGCAGUUUGAAAACCACUGAUCUAAAGGAAAGCCUGGAACUUUUCAGAAAAUAAGGAUAUUCUGCUAAGACAUAGGAUCAUCACUGCAGAGGAGAAGGUCGACAUGUUCAAUUUGCAAAUGUAAGAAA
Molecule: long non-coding RNA, 569 nt
Organism: Cavia porcellus (domestic guinea pig)
Lineage: Eukaryota; Metazoa; Chordata; Mammalia; Rodentia; Caviidae
Exons: 4
Source: RefSeq, a predicted model, not a curated record